Molecule: ribosomal RNA, 492 nt
Filed under: uncultured bacterium
Lineage: Bacteria
Description: partial 16S ribosomal RNA
Rfam family: Bacterial small subunit ribosomal RNA
Source: RNAcentral
AGUGAACGCUGGCGGUAGGCCUAACACAUGCAAGUCGAACGGCAGCACAGUAAGAGCUUGCUCUUACGGGUGGCGAGUGGCGGACGGGUGAGGAAUACAUCGGAAUCUACUUUUUCGUGGGGGAUAACGUAGGGAAACUUACGCUAAUACCGCAUACGACCUACGGGUGAAAGCAGGGGAUCUUCGGACCUUGCGCGACUGAAUGAGCCGAUGUCGGAUUAGCUAGUUGGCGGGGUAAAGGCCCACCAAGGCGACGAUCCGUAGCUGGUCUGAGAGGAUGAUCAGCCACACUGGAACUGAGACACGGUCCAGACUCCUACGGGAGGCAGCAGUGGGGAAUAUUGGACAAUGGGCGCAAGCCUGAUCCAGCCAUACCGCGUGGGUGAAGAAGGCCUUCGGGUUGUAAAGCCCUUUUGUUGGGAAAGAAAAGCAGCAGGUUAAUACCUCGCUGUUCUGACGGUACCCAAAGAAUAAGCACCGGCUAACUUCGUG